CCUACGGGAGGCAGCAGUGAGGAAUAUUGGUCAAUGGACGAGAGUCUGAACCAGCCAAGUCGCGUGAAGGAAGAAGGAUCUAUGGUUCGUAAACUUCUUUUGCAGGGGAAUAAAGUGCAGGACGUGUCCUGUUUUGUAUGUACCCUAAGAAUAAGGAUCGGCUAACUCCGUGCCAGCAGCCGCGGUAAU
RNAcentral lists this ribosomal RNA (189 nucleotides) under uncultured bacterium. RNAcentral describes it as "partial 16S ribosomal RNA". It matches the Rfam family "Bacterial small subunit ribosomal RNA", at positions 338 to 524 of the family's 1533-position model. The record is from RNAcentral.